UAUUCAAGUUAGCAGUUGCCAUUCUCUUGGUGGGUCUUGCUUUUAGGCUCUUCUUCUAUCAAUCUACCAGAUUUGAACCCAAUUUCGAUGACUCUUUUGUUGAUAAAACUGAAGUGCCAAAGCCACCACCAAUUUCUGUUAAUAUUCCGAAGCCACCUGCUUCUGUUGAUAUUUCAAAUCCACCUGCUUCUGUUGACAUUCCAAAGCCAACUGUUUCUGUUGGUGUGCCAGAACCUGAAGAUGAGGAGGCGCCCAAUAAUGAACUUUAUACAGGUGAGUGUGAUCUUUUUAUUGGAGAUUGGAUUCCCAGCCCGUCAGGCCCGAUUUACACAAAUGCUAGCUGCCCUUUGAUUGAAGGUCACCAGAAUUGUAUUAGGAAUGGGCGACCGGAUUCAGGUUAUCUAUUCUGGAGGUGGAAUCCACGAGAUUGUGAAUUACCUCAAUUUGAUCCACAAAGAUUUCUUGAGUUAAUGAGGAAUAAAACAUGGGCAUUGAUCGGUGAUUCAAUAUCUCGCAACCAUGUGCAGUCAUUGCUGUGCAUGCUCUCCCCAGUUGAGCAAGCCGUUGAAGUUUAUCAUGACGAGGAAUACAAAUCANAAAAGAUGGCACUUUCCUUCCUACAACUUCACCAUAUCAAAUAUUUGGUCCCCUUUCCUCGUUGAGGCAGCAAUCUUUGAAGAUAAUGAUGGUGUUUCAACAGCUGAAGUUCAGCUGCAGCU
Molecule: unclassified non-coding RNA, 719 nt
Filed under: Hevea brasiliensis (rubber tree)
Lineage: Eukaryota; Viridiplantae; Streptophyta; Magnoliopsida; Malpighiales; Euphorbiaceae
Source: RNAcentral